RNAcentral lists this ribosomal RNA (329 nucleotides) under uncultured eukaryote. Its description in RNAcentral is "partial 18S ribosomal RNA". It matches the Rfam family "Eukaryotic small subunit ribosomal RNA", at positions 1470 to 1796 of the family's 1831-position model. The record is from RNAcentral.
CCCUUAGAUGUUCUGGGCCGUACGCGCGCUACACUGAUGCAUUCAACGAGUCUAAAACCUGCUCUGAUAGGGGUGGGUAAUCUUUUGAAUGUGCAUCGUGAUUGGGAUAGAUGAUUGCAAUUUUUCAUCUUCAACGAGGAAUGCCUAGUAAACGCAAGUCAUCAGCUUGCAUUGAUUACGUCCCUGCCCUUUGUACACACCGCCCGUCGCUCCUACCGAUUGAAUGAUCCGAUGAAUAUCAUGGAUUGAGGAUGCAAGUAGGUUCGCCUAUCUUCAUCUUCGAGAAGUGAAGUAAAUCUUAUCAUUUAGAGGAAGGAGAAGUCGUAACA